Molecule: ribosomal RNA, 497 nt
Filed under: uncultured bacterium
Lineage: Bacteria
Description: partial 16S ribosomal RNA
Rfam family: Bacterial small subunit ribosomal RNA
Source: RNAcentral
GAUGAACGCUGGCGGCGUGCCUAAUACAUGCGAGUCGAGCGAACAGAUGAGGAGCUUGCUCCUCUGACGUUAGCGGCGGACGGGUGAGUAACACGUGGAUAACCUACCUAUAAGACUGGGAUAACUUCGGGAAACCGGAGCUAAUACCGGAUAAUAUAUUGAACCGCAUGGUUCAAUAGUGAAAGACGGUUUUGCUGUCACUUAUAGAUGGAUCCGCGCCGCAUUAGCUAGUUGGUAAGGUAACGGCUUACCAAGGCAACGAUGCGUAGCCGACGUGAGAGAGUGAUCGGCCACACUGGAAGGUGACCAGGCUCCAGGGGACUGAGGGACGGAGCAGACGGGUACGUUACGCAAUAGGGGAAAACCUGACAGAACAACGCCGAGUGAGUGAUGAAGGUCUUCGGAGCGUAAAGCUCUGUUAUUAGGGGAGAACAAAUGUGUAAGUAGAUAUGCACGUCUUGACGGUACCUAAUAAGAAAGCAACGGCUAACUACGUG